Molecule: microRNA precursor, 203 nt
Filed under: Oryza nivara
Lineage: Eukaryota; Viridiplantae; Streptophyta; Magnoliopsida; Poales; Poaceae
Description: MIR812 microRNA precursor family
Rfam family: MIR812 microRNA precursor family
Source: Rfam by way of RNAcentral
UAUAAGGGAUUUUGAGUUUUUGCUUUUAACAUUUGAUCACUCGUCUUAUUCAAAUUUUUUUAAAAUUAUUAUUUAUUUUAUUUGUGACUUACUUUAUUAUCUACCGUACUUUAAAUGCAACUUUUCGUUUUUUAUAUUUGCAAAAAAAAAUUGAAUAAGACGAGUGGUCAAACGUUGCAAAUAAAAACUCAAAAUCCCUUAUA